GACGAACGCUGGCGGCGUGCCUAAUACAUGCAAGUAGAACGCUGAAGAGAGGAGCUUGCUCUUCUUGGAUGAGUUGCGAACGGGUGAGUAACGCGUAGGUAACCUGCCUUGUAGCGGGGGAUAACUAUUGGAAACGAUAGCUAAUACCGCAUAACAAUAGGUGACACAUGUCAUUUAUUUGAAAGGGGCAAUUGCUCCACUACAAGAUGGACCUGCGUUGUAUUAGCUAGUAGGUGAGGUAACGGCUCACCUAGGCGACGAUACAUAGCCGACCUGAGAGGGUGAUCGGCCACACUGGGACUGAGACACGGCCCAGACUCCUACGGGAGGCAGCAGUAGGGAAUCUUCGGCAAUGGGGGCAACCCUGACCGAGCAACGCCGCGUGAGUGAAGAAGGGUUUCGGAUCGUAAAGCUCUGCUGUAAGUCAAGAACGAGUGUGAGAGUGGAAAGUUCACACUGUGACGGUAGCUUACCAGAAAGGGACGGCUAACUACGUG
Molecule: ribosomal RNA, 497 nt
Filed under: uncultured bacterium
Lineage: Bacteria
Description: partial 16S ribosomal RNA
Rfam family: Bacterial small subunit ribosomal RNA
Source: RNAcentral